GCCUGUAGCUCAGUGGUUAGAGCAGAAGACUCAUAAUCUUUUGGUCGAGGGUUCAAGUCCCUCUGGGCCC
This 70-nucleotide transfer RNA is filed under the name bovine gut metagenome. It matches the Rfam family "tRNA". From Rfam's summary of the family: Transfer RNA (tRNA) molecules are approximately 80 nucleotides in length. Their secondary structure includes four short double-helical elements and three loops (D, anti-codon, and T loops). Further hydrogen bonds mediate the characteristic L-shaped molecular structure. tRNAs have two regions of fundamental functional importance: the anti-codon, which is responsible for specific mRNA codon recognition, and the 3' end, to which the tRNAs corresponding amino acid is attached (by aminoacyl-tRNA synthetases). tRNAs cope with the degeneracy of the genetic code in two manners: having more than one tRNA (with a specific anti-codon) for a particular amino acid; and 'wobble' base-pairing, i.e. permitting non-standard base-pairing at the 3rd anti-codon position. The record is from RNAcentral.